GUGGACGCCAGUCUGCAUGGAGCCGACCUUGAAAUACCACCCUUUAAUGUUUGAUGUUCUAACGUGGACCCGUUACCCGGGUUGCGGACAGUGUCUGGUGGGUAGUUUGACUGGGGCGGUCUCCUCCUAAAGAGUAACGGAGGAGCACGAAGGUUGGCUAAUCCUGGUCGGACAUCAGGAGGUUAGUGCAAUGGCAUAAGCCAGCUUGACUGCGAGCGUGACGGCGCGAGCAGGUGCGAAAGCAGGUCAUAGUGAUCCGGUGGUUCUGAAUGGAAGGGCCAUCGCUCAACGGAUAAAAGGUACUCCGGGGAUAACAGGCUGAUACCGCCCAAGAGUUCAUAUCGACGGCGGUGUUUGGCACCUCGAUGUCGGCUCAUCACAUCCUGGGGCUGAAGUAGGUCCCAAGGGUAUGGCUGUUCGCCAUUUAAAGUGGUACGCGAGCUGGGUUUAGAACGUCGUGAGACAGUUCGGUCCCUAUCUGCCGUGGGCGCUGGAGAACUGAGGGGGGCUGCUCCUAGUACGAGAGGACCGGAGUGGACGCAUCACUGGUGUUCGGGUUGUCAUGCCAAUGGCACUGCCCGGUAGCUAAAUGCGGAAGAGAUAAGUGCUGAAAGCAUCUAAGCACGAAACUUGCCCCGAGAUGAGUUCUCCCUGAGACUUAGAGUCUCCUGAAGGAACGUUGAAGACGACGACGUUGAUAGGCCGGGUGUGUAAGCGCAGCGAUGCGUUGAGCUAACCGGUACUAAUGAACCGUGAGGCUUAACCUU
Molecule: ribosomal RNA, 767 nt
Filed under: Salmonella enterica subsp. enterica serovar Heidelberg
Lineage: Bacteria; Pseudomonadati; Pseudomonadota; Gammaproteobacteria; Enterobacterales; Enterobacteriaceae
Also listed under: 2 other names
Description: partial 23S ribosomal RNA
Rfam family: Bacterial large subunit ribosomal RNA
Source: RNAcentral